RNAcentral lists this ribosomal RNA (253 nucleotides) under uncultured bacterium. RNAcentral describes it as "partial 16S ribosomal RNA". It matches the Rfam family "Bacterial small subunit ribosomal RNA", at positions 524 to 776 of the family's 1533-position model. The record is from RNAcentral.
UACGGAAUGUGCAAACGUUAUUCGGAAUCACUGGGCUUAAAGAGUCCGUAGGCGGCAUGUUAGGUGAGGUGUGAAAUCCCCCGGCUCAACCGAGGAAUUGCGCUUCAAACCGGCGUGCUUGAGGAAGAUAGAGGUGGGCGGAACUGAUGGUGGAGCGGUGAAAUGCGUUGAUAUCAGGAGGAACACCUGCGGUGUAGACGGCUUACUGGACCAUAACUGACGCUGAGGCACGAAAGCGUGGGUAGCAAACAGG